This is a long non-coding RNA of Manis javanica (Malayan pangolin), 10251 nucleotides long. RefSeq lists it as uncharacterized. The record is from RefSeq and is a predicted model, not a curated record. Lineage: Eukaryota; Metazoa; Chordata; Mammalia; Pholidota; Manidae.
AGGAGAGAGAAAGUUUUGACAAUAUUCUUUUUAACCUGUGGUUCUUAAUAAGAUUUUUGCAGGAUUGUUUUAGGUUAGGAAGGAAUCAAAUCUCUGAUCAAGAGAGAUGAUGCUGAUUUAUUAGAGGGGUUUUAAAGUAUUGAAUAAAGACCUUGCUCCAGGUAGAGAGUACAGAAUUUACUACUUCUAGGAGAGAGAAUUUCACGAUUUCCACAGUGGGGAGGAAACUUCAACUACCACCUUUUGUAUCUAUCCAUGGUGACUAGAAGAUAAUCAGAUUUUUUAAAUCAAAGGAAUUGCUUUAGUUAUAGCUGCUAGAUUACACAGAAGUGGACAUUUAAAGCAGAGACAUCCAAGCUUAAACAAUGAUAACAAAUUUUGCUGAGCCCUCACCAUGUGCAGGCUCUAUGUGAAGCCAUUUAAAUGUACAGUCUCAUUUAACCUUUACAUCGUCCCUGCGGGUUAGAUGUUAGUAUUAUCUCCACUUAACAGCUAAAGAAACCGAGACUGAGAGUAGCUAAGUGACUUUAGCAAGUGGUGGCACCAAGAUUUGAACCCAGGUAGCCUGGCUCCUGAGCAGGGCCUCAACCACCAUGCUCUUUUGAGCAUAACUAAGUUAUAAGUAAUCUGGUUAAUGUCAAAACCAUAUUAUACAUGGCUUCCACUGGCUCUGGCUGCUUUUGCUUUCAUGGGCUCUUUCCUCUCUAAAAGACUUCAAAUUUCUAUGUUAUGACUGCACAGCAUAAAGAUGGAUAUAUUAAUAUUAAAAAAAAGCUUCUUUUUUUUUUUUUACCAAGAAGUCUACCUUUUUAAUGUUUAACACUUCGGUGGGCCCCUAAAAAAGACCAUGGGUCCUGAGCAAUGCAGCUACUAUGCCUGCUGGAGAUGUCGGCACAUAGAUGGCUGGUGUGAUAAAAAUAGCCAAGAUGAGAAUGUGAGGUCAUGUAGCAUCCUUUCUGAUUACAACCAAAUCCAUUUCUAAUCAACGAUGGUAAUGGAACAAAUGGAAAUAACAUGAGAAAAGGAUUGGGGUGGCUUCCAUCUCCCUUGAUUUUGGGGGACACAUGGCUUGGGUGCUUUCCUGUUGUUUCACCAUUGCCACUGCAGAAAUGAUGAGGUCUUUAUGGGCUUGACCUUAAUCAAUAUACAGUUGACCCUAGGCCAACAUGGAUUUGACCUGUGUGGGUCCACUUAGACAUGGAUUUUUUCAAAUGAAAAAAUACACUGGAAAAUCUUUUGGAUAUUUGUGAUAAUUCAAGAAAACAUUUGAUUAUUUCUCUCUUACUAGAACAUUACUAUUAUAUACUUAUUGUAAGAAUACAGUAUAUAAUACAUAUAAUAUACAACAUACGUGUUAACUGACUGUGUAUGUUAUUGGUAGGGCUUCGGUCCAUGGUAGGCUCUUUGCAGUUAAGUUUUGGGAGAGUCAAAAGUUAUAUGUGGGUUUUAGACUGCAUGGGGGUGUUCAGUACCCCUAAUCCCAUUUUUCAAGGAUCAACUGUACUGUGGUUUAGUUUAAAACCAAACAAACAAAUAAAUUUGGGUCCUUAACUGAUAAUACUGCCUACAAACUAACAGACUACUAGUUAGAGAUGGCCAGUGUUUUAGAGACAAGAUGAGCUGCUUGGUCAGGAUUCUGAUCUCCUACUGUUUAUGAUGGGGGUGAUUCCCUGGAAACAUGGGGAAAAGCCAGUUAAACUCUUCAGUCCUCACUCACAGCAACAGACUGUAGUUUCUGUCCCAAACAGAAACAAACUUCAUCCAUUACCACUUCUCCCCAACCCAAUAAUGCCUCACUUGGCCCAUUCUACCUAACAAAUGAGCGGUUUCCCUGAGAAGUUGUUGAAUCUCAAGUUUUGGCUCAGACUUGAAUAUAUUCUGAAUAAAAGAAGUAAGGGGAAAACAUCGAUUUUUAGUUUCCAAACUGUUACCGGACACUCACCCUAAAUACGGGGUGAAUCCAAACAAGAAUAACGAUGUUAGGGUUUAGUAUCUGUUUUGCUUUAUGAUAAGAGUAAUUUCAAGUUAUCUUUGGGUGAACUGGAUUCCUUGCAUGAAGGUCCCUCAGUGAUACACAUAACAACCUGAAUGAGAUUUACGGGUAGACGUUAUCUGAAAUUCCUGUCUAUUAAGGCAAUGGUUUAAAAGGGAAUAGGCAUGCAUAUUUUAUUAAGCAAGGAAAAUGUUCCAGGAAUCCAGGGUAAAAUAUUUCCCUUGUAGUUUUUAACUCAUUUAAAAUCAUGUGAUUUUACUGACUUAUUUCUUUACAAGACUCGUUUAAACCAGAGGACAGAUAACCAGGUAUACAGCAUUAUAGACUGCAUUUGAAAAUUGGGCAUUGUUUACCUGAAAAAUGAUAAAGGAUGUGAAUCUUGGAUUCUCUUAAGAUCAUAGCUAACAAAAGGCAAAAAGUUAAAGGGUGACUGAUAAGAAAAUGACAGAUGAUUGAAUGGAUGGAUACAUGAAUAGAUUAAUGAAUAGAUAGAAAAACAGAUAGAUGGAUAAUACAGAUGAAUGAAUUAAUAGAGACACAAAUGGAUAGACAAGUAGAUGACAGAUAAUAGAAAGAUAUUCAUAGAUCAAUACAUGGUUAGAAAAUGGACAGCUAGACGCACAUGGGUGAAUAGAUGACUGGGAAGCAGAAUAAAUAGUUGAUGUAUAAAUGAAUAUAGCUAGAUGAAUGGAUAGAUAGAUGCUAGAGAUUGAUGAAUGUUAGGAUAAAUUCAGAAUGAAAUUGUAGAUGGAUGUAAGGGUACACCACCAUCAGGAUUGUACCCAACUGGAAUGGAAUACAAAUGAAGAUAAUGACAUUUCUUUUCAUGGAGCUAUUUCUAAAUAGUUUAACUAUUUUGGGGGAAGUAUAGGCUGGAGGCAAGAAAUUAGUCCGUCUCUAUGAGCCCUCAAGUUUCACAAUGAAUGUCUCAAUGAUGGGAAGAAGAGACGUGGGUGUGCCAUGAUUUAUCCCCUUCUCUAUCUUCCGUAACGCUCAGUCCUGGCCCAUUUGGCCUCUGUGGUACACACUAGAACAGUGUGAGAUGUGCAGAGCGGAGGAAGCGCAGGGCAGCCUCCAGGCUUCCUUGGUGACACAUAAAAGUCAUCCCUUUGCCUCUUGUUUAACUCUGAUAUUCACAUAUACCUUCGCUGGUCGACCUACUCAGGAAGGCCUGGUGCUGUAAUUAAUCCAUGUCACAGGAAGAUGUAGUGUCCUCAGAGUUUAUGAGUGGGUUUGAGCUGCUGUGAUGAGUAUGGGCACCUCAGCCAGUGUGAUAUAAAUUCCUCUGCUAAUGGAUUGCUGGAGCUAAUCAGAAGCCAGAAAGGGAAUAAAAACUCCACGUUCUUGCUGCAGCCGCUGCUGCUGGCUGAUAAAGCAGACAGACCCUUUCAGGACGGGGUGCUGGAAUUGAAUCCUCAUGUGGAGGUCUUACUCUAGAUGGCUAUCUCAGAGGCGACGCAUCCCUUCUGUCACCAGGCCCGAGGAGACAGACGAAGCAGUGGGAGGAAAGAGCAGAAUGAUCCCAAAGAGAUGUUGCUAACGAAUCACAGAAACAGAGUGAACAGGGCAGAGAUGAAAGGAUAGGACAUCAAGGUGGGGGUGGCCCUCCAAUAGCCUCAGAGAGCCAGCAGCUUUUUCUGAAACGAAGUGCCACUCCCUGGGACUCCUGACCAUGCCUGACGCCCACUUGGGGGUGCAGCUUCAGGAGGCCUGGUCUCCACAGCCAGGAGAAAGUCAUCCCAAGCGUGCCCUUGAGCUGAAGACUGUGCCCACUUUCCAGAAGGGGAAAAAGCCAACGGGAGGAUGCAAAUUCCACUCGGUGCCAGGGCAAGUGCAGUUCGGGAAGCUCAGAUGAACUGACCCAGCUGCAAGGAGGGAAGGAGGAAAAGGCCAAGGUCCCACACUUCCUGCCUGCUGGAAAACCGUGGGCACAGAUCAGCUGACGGGGACGCUGCACCUGCUCCCAGGUUUCAGAUGAGGGCAGAGAAAGCGAGCUUGUGUUCGGCAUUCUGUGUUCCACCUCCACCAAGGAUAAACGGUUCAUUCCAGCUGCAAGAGUGAACCGUGUAUAUAACAGGGCCCUGGUUGGACCUUGGUGGUCUUUUUCUGUUCUUUGCUCGUCUAAGGCUCUACCACUUCUCCUUAGAGGGAAAUGUAUCCCUAAUAUAUUUGGCUCCACCAAGCUGGGAGCCCUGCAUUUAUCUUUAAAUUCCUCCUUUUGUCUUUUCCUGUGAUCACCACUUCUUCGCCCCUAUUUCUUCCGGUGCCCUCUCCAUACGCUAAAUCCUUAGCCAUGAUGAGUAGGCAGCCAGCCCCUCUUGCACACAACAAAGACUUCUAUUUUUUUUUCUUUCUAUCUUUUGGGCGACACGAUAAAAAAUAACCCUGUAUUUAUGCAAAUUGCAAAGUAGCGUGUGAUAAUGAAAACAAAACAGCGCUGGCCCGCAGCCAAGACAUGGCACUGACGGGGGCUCCCGACCAUUUGGCUCUUGAUGCUUCGGGGAGAGCAGCUGUAGAGAAAGGAGCACACACAACACCCUGGCCACACGCGCACUCCCACGCGCACACCCUCGUCCGCACGCAUUCCGGUACCGUCACCUCGGAGCCUGCAAGCCCUGGGAUCCGAAUGAAGUUCUGUCUCCUACCGCCGCGGGCACUUCAGCGUCGUCCCCCACGAGCCUCCCUGCCCCCUGCCUGCUCCUGAUUCCCUUUCAGGAAUUUACAAACAUUUCCCACAGAUCAAUAUCUGUAUUGAUUAUUCAUUGUGAGUGAGUCGUGGGUCUUUGGUGAUCCAGCCUGCAGAGGUAGCAGCCAAAGCCUGCUGCAGGGGGAAAAAAAAUAACAGAAGGCGAGAAGGGCCCCGCUCGGUCUGCGGCUGGCUGUCGGCAGCACAGAAGCGAAGAGGAGCAAGGCGCUGCAAGACGAAGGCAGGCACAAGGGCGGAUGAGAAAGCGGGAGCAAUAGCAAGAAAGACGAAGUGGUGCCCGGACGUCUGGUUCCAGGGUUCUCCGUGGCCUGGAGGAAACCCCCAUCUUGGGUCUGCUGUAGGUGCCACAUGCAGGGGACUCGCUCUGGGAGGGCGAAGUGACUCACAGUUUUGGUAUCUCCUACGUAAGAGCUUUGGGGGGUUCCUUGGCUUGCUGACAAGAAAGAAGAAAGCAGCAGUGAGGUACAACACGACUCCUUCCAACUGCCUUGCGGAGGAUACGCAGUCGCUUGGUUUGCUGGAACAGCUUGCUGCUCUCUGAUGGCACGCAGAGGGAGAAUAAUUAAAAAGGCCAGCGUCACUUACUAAGAUUUCUGGGACUGCAAGGUCAAUAGGUGCGAUGUCUUCCUUCUGCCUGGGGUUUUACUCUUCUGGAGCUUCUUUAUUUUGGACUCCCCAGUACAUUCAGUAGAUUCCGGAGCACUCCAUUCAUGCUAGUUGAAUGAAUGCUGAGAAAGCUGCUCACCACUGAAGGAACAAUGGGGAUGGUUUGGCCAAAGCGCACGACACAGGUCUGAGUCUCGGUGGAGUGGGAAGCUUGAGAGCUGGUUUCACACAGCACCUCGUUGAGUGAUGGGACGGGGUAUAUGGAGCCCAAGGCGACUGACUGAACGCAGAGCCGGAGCAAAGGAAAGGGCUUCUCCCCGAGCAGCACGGCAGCUUGCGGGUGGCGCUGUGGCGAAGCAGAACCGUGGGAAGUGUCAACCUAACUCAGACGCGAGCACUUGUGCCGUAUGGGCCCCGCAGGCCGCCCUCAGCGACUGGCUCAGUGAUGCGGGGUAUCCCAGCUUCGGCUGCAGGGGGAAGCUGGCAGGCAGCAGUGCCACCAGAUUUGGGAAUGACAAGAGGCAGUGCUUUCGCGUGGACAGUGGCUGUGCACCCUCACAGCAGCCAUGACAGUGGCCGAUACGUGGCAGAGGACUCAGCAAUCAGUGAGAGUGGAGGGGACUAGUGUGAGCGCACAUGCAUCCCCCACUGGGUUACUCUCCAGGCACCCGGGGGAGAUUCUGGGUGAGGAUGAAGGUCCUACAAUUGCAGGUAGAAGGCGAAGCCACCCGCUUCGCCAUGACCCCAGCUCCACACUGGCAGGACCUGGAGAAGUUUGGUAUCUUGGCACCUUGUACCGAGACACCCUGUGAAGGACGGACGGGAGGAUGGCUGUCAGAGGCAGGCCAGUGCCUGCAGUCAAACUCUACUCCCGUGGGCAAGGACACCUGAUUGAGAAGCUUCCAGCUCUAUUUCCCCAAAGCUAAAAGCAGUUACCACAUCGUUCUCUUAUUUUUGAUUUGCUCAUUUUUCUCCUCUUGUAAGCUGUAAGCUCCCUGAUGAAAGGGACUAUGUUUUAUUCUUCAGAUUCCCACUACUCAACACGGUGUCAGGCAAACAGCAGACAGCCAAUAUUUGUUGGGUGAAUAGAGAAAUAUGUGAAUAAAACAUGAGAUGUCACAAAUGUGACGGCCAUCUGAGAUGAGCCGAUGUAAAUCAAUGAGGGCUGUGUCCAAGGACAUUUUCCAGAAAGAAGUAGAAGACCCCAUUCAGACCUCUGCAGGGGCCGAGGAGCAUAGAGGGGAAUGGAAUAUGUAUAGUUGUACAGUCCAAAGCCGGCUCCUACAUGGGCUUUUAGAACUUUCUGGAACCUCACCAGAUUGUAGUCCCUAGUGAUGGUCUAGGUGUUCCAAAACAGGUCCCUGCAACUCUGUGAAGAGUGGUAGUCUGAUACCCCAACUACUUUGAGGUCUUGAUAAUUGAAGAAGAGAAAGGGUAAGAAAAGGAAGGGACUUCCCAGGGGAGAAGGAAAGGCUGAUGCACUUGCGCUGCCUCUUUAGAUCUGUGGACUUCCAGAGGGUUGGAUCCUUGGCCUUGAACAGUGAUCAGAUGUACUUCGGUGGGUUACGGGCCUCAGGCGGCUGUGGGGUGGCAGACACUGUCACAGCAAGAGGCCACACAUCCAUCUUCUCCUGGAAUAUAGUGAGGAGCUCCACUCCUCAGUCCCAGGCUUCAGCCAAGGUUACCCGGGCACAGUCCUGGUAAGGCUAGGUGAGGUUCACCGGCCGACAGGUGGGCACCUGUCUUCUGAUUCCCAGCCCCAGAGUUGAGACACUCUAAGUGAGGGCUGGUCCAUGGUCCUGAAGCAUCCUGAGAGCCAGGCCCUGCUGGAAGCCUUUGUGAUCACUCGGGUCUGGCUUGCUCCUCAUGGCCAGGGGCUUGGAGGAAUGAGGCUAGAACAGCAAAGGGCUCCUAAGUCGCAGAUUUAACGGUCCGUGUUCCCUAGCAGGACUUCUCCAGCUAUAUUUGGGGCUGUGAGCACAGGGCUCAGGACAGGAAGUCUAGAGGUAAAUGGACUGGGAAUGCAGAUUUUGGGCUGACUGGGUCCCUAAGUAGCCAGCUGGGCCACUGCCACCCAUUGAGCCCUGAGGUGCUGGGGGUGGGAGGGCAGGCUUUAGGUAGUAGUUUGAUUAUGCCUCUUACGGAGUAUGGGCUUUGGGGAUCUUUUCCAGCUAUACAGAUCUCUCAGUUAAUCUUUACUUACUGUUAAUUCCACCUUAUUUAAGAGAGUGAGAGGAAGAAAAAGAGAGAGAGAGAGAGAGCACAUGAGUGAGCCAUAGCAACACGUUUUCCUUUUAAGUGUUUGUAUCCUAACGCAAAUCUACAUAUUCUUUAGGGGAUGACAUUCUUAAAAUAAGCAACAAUUUGAAGUAUACUUUUCUAUUCUUAAAACUUGCAACUGCCUUCAGUUAAUUCCCAAAUAAUUACAUUUUAUACAAACUAGUAGCCCUAAAAGAGUUCCUUAGUUCUUGACUGUUGACAAACUGAGGGUUAUUGACAUUUUUAUGAUAUAAUAUUGAGUGUUUUCAGAAUGGAAGAUACAUCCUUUAUAUGAAGUUGAUACAUACGCAUAUUUGCCUCAAAUUUUCCAGCACAAAAUGUGUGUGUGAGCAUAUAUGUGUAUUUAAUAUGUUUAUGUAUAUAUGUGCAUGUGUUAAUGGGAAUGUGUGCAUGCAUAUGUAUGUAUACUCUGUAGAUUUGUAAGCUUGUGUGUGUGUGUGUGUGUGUGUGUGUGUGUGUUGUGGGCCAAAGGAGGUUAUGAUAGGUGUCUUUAUUCUCUGCUGUGUGGACUAGAAGGAAGUGUCUGCUUUUCUGGACCAUGUCAGGGCAAAGAUGUUGCUUUCUAUUCUUAUACUGAGAUGAAGUUUUUUUAAAAAAAUUGAAAACCAUGUUUUUAUUCCAAAAGACUGAGUAGGAUGAUACUUUAAAAAUAAUUUAAGUCAUUUAAAUUUCAGGCCCUGAAAAAAUUCCCAUCCAUGGUCCAAAUCUACUCUCUGGCUCAGAGCCCAAAGCAUUUUCAUUAGAUUGAGAAUUGGAUACAAUUUCAUUCACUUGAAGCUUCUGCUACUCAGAAUUCUGUUCUUCAGCGACAAGCUAACAACUGUUGAUGGACAUGUUGGCCUCAAUAAUAGGUCUCCUUUUCUUGAAUGAUCUGUUUCAGUUGCAUUAUUACCAUUUAAAGAUGGCCUUGUGCUUUCAGACACAUUUUCUGUCAGUGUAUGAAGAAUGCUGAUAUUCUUGUAUAUAGUUUUGCCUUUAUAGUUAGUAACUUGUUUGGAGAAAAUAUCCUUAUGUUCCAUGAAGCCAUUUGCAAAAGAGAGGCUAUCUAAAGAUUUCUCUUCAGCACUCAUUCUUGCUAUUACAAAGGGAGAUUUGGUCCAACUAUACUAAGAUUUCUUUAAGUUUUAAAAAAUUAAUUAGUGAAAAUUUUAUGGUGGCCUUUUCUGAAGAGAGUAUUGGCAUAUCAGUAAGAAAAAGACAGAUAACCCUCAGAAGAAUGGGCAAAAGACUGGAUAGGCACUUCACCAAAAAGAGAAAUCUAAAUGGCCAAUCAGUGCUCAAAUUUGUUGGAAUUAAGAAAAUGCAAAUUAAACCUACAGUGAGAUACUACUUCCACACCCACUGACUUGGCAAAAAUUGAAGUAUGACAAUUACAACUCUUAGCAUGGGCCUAAGAACAAUCAGACACCCACACACUGCUGGCAGGAACGUAAAGACACUUUGGGAAAUAGUUUUGCAUCAGUUAAUAAAGUUGAAAAGUUGUAUGUGCUUUGACCUGACAAAUCCCUUUCUAUAACUUAAAGCAGUGGCUCUCAAAGUGUGGUCCCUGCUCCUGGCAGCAUCUGCUUCCUGGGAACUUUCUGGAAGUGUGAACUCUCAGAUCCUACUCCAGCUCUACUGAACUGACACUCUGAGGUGGGACUGCACCCUCUGUGGACUCCCUGGGUGAUGAUGAGCCCUCACCUGAGAGAAACCUGUGAGCACACGCCCAGGAUGCCUGAUCAGAAUGUUCACCGCAGCAACCAUGUAUCCAUCGACAGGAAUACUUUGCAUUCUAUUUGUGCAAUGGAAUAGUACACUGCAAUGAACAUGAAUGCAUUUUGUGGAUGAAUCUUAAUCAUUAUAUUGACCAAAAGAAGCAAGACAGAUACAUAAGAACCUCAAGAAAAGCAAGGAAAUGAUUACUAUAAAACCUAGGAAAAUGGUUACCUGUAUUGGAAAAGGAGGUUACAAUUAAAAAGGAACUCACAGUCAGGGGCUGGGGCUUCUGAGGGGCUGGCAAUGUUCCCUGCUUUGAUCUAGGAGGUGAUUACAUACUUGUUUCCUUUAUGAUUAUACUUGAAACCGUAUAUAUGUGCUUUUCCAAAUGUGUAUUACACUUUACAAUGAAAACAAACAAUUGUGUCUACUGAAACUAUUUAGUGCUGCUACCCACAUGGAGUUUCACCAAAUUAUAAUCUACCUUCCUUCAUAAAUCUGCUUAAUUCUGCUUCCCACUAUAAGAAGCUGUCUGUUCUAUUACAUCACUAUUUUUGUUCUUACUCUUUGUGUCUUCCACGUGGAAAGCCAGUUAGGAACAGACUCUAAGUCGAUCAUUUAUCAGCCAGAGUCACUGUCCAUAUGUGGAGAAGUCCAAAAACAAACUGUAGGGACAGCCUCUCAGUGGGAAAGCUUGAUGCCACUUACAGGAGCCAGGUUUCUGCUGCCAGUUACAAGUGACUGUUGUUAAUCUGUGACCUUCUUCAGUGAUUGCCAUUAGACUGAUUCAUGCAAAGUAAGAUGGGAAAAAACAACAUAUUUGUUCUUUUAAGUAUAAUACUGAUAUUACAGGAGCUAGUUGGCUCAUACUUCAGCUGUCCAUGUUUAUAGCAGAAGUGCUUUUCAAAUGCUUUUGAAGCCAAGUCCUUAGUUUUUUUUUCUUUAAAUUAAGACAAGUGUAGUUUUC